RNAcentral lists this non-coding RNA (79 nucleotides) under Pycnococcus provasolii. The record is from RNAcentral. Lineage: Eukaryota; Viridiplantae; Chlorophyta; Pseudoscourfieldiophyceae; Pseudoscourfieldiales; Pycnococcaceae.
AACGAUGACAUCAUAUUUUUAGUAAUUGAAUUCUUGUAACGCGUGUGUUACAAAGAAAACAAAAAAAAACAAUAACAAU